Molecule: long non-coding RNA, 1095 nt
Organism: Drosophila subobscura
Lineage: Eukaryota; Metazoa; Arthropoda; Insecta; Diptera; Drosophilidae
Exons: 4
Source: RefSeq, a predicted model, not a curated record
UGUAAGAAACGCGCCAUUUUUCACUAAGCUUUACAUUUAUUGUAAAAACCAGAAAAUGAAGGACAAUUAGCCAUCAAAAACAUAAAAAAACGCUAAACAGUUAUGGCAGAUUCCACAACAUGUCAAUUGCAGAACAAGUACGAGCCAAUCCCUAAUCGUGUGCUGCAAGCCAAUUUAUGUACAAUAAAUAUAGUCCACGUCGUUCUGGCAAUGUUUGCUCACAGGUGGCAAAGUUGGAAGGAACACAAAUAAGUGACCAGUCGGAAUGCCAGAAGCGUCUCAUGAACUGUGGGUCUCGGUAACAGAUAAAUUAUUCGCGUUGCUGGUCCGUCCGGGCAGGAGAUCAAAGAUAUUGGCACUGACAGCCCCCCCCCAACAAUGAGGAGCAGAAUGUCACCAAUGUGCACUUUAUCUGCGGAGGAAAUCGCCAAAGAUAUGUAUGUAUGGCAAGAUAUGGAACGAUUAUGUCCCAGAUGAUGGUAGGCACACAUUGAUAAGAUCCUAAACGCAGAGAAUUCUGCUUGCCUUUUGAAGAAAAAUCGUAUGCUUCAUAUCUUGGACAUAGAUACCUAUUGGCUGCGGGAUGAGCUGGCCUUGAACUAUGGCUCCCAUAUGAUAUCCAAUAAACGAGUAAAGCCAUGUACCGGACUUUAAAGCUGUGCUGAUCGUUUAUUUACAAUGAGGAAUUUGCAGUCCAUCUCCAGAUAAGCUACCUGUAUUUCCAGGCACAGGACUUUGUGGAUGCUUAGAUGGUUGGCUUUCAGCUGUGGCUGCCACGGAACUGGCACUGAGAAGAAACUGGAAACCGUUUUCGUUAUCUAGAAGCUGAAAAAUUAGGAUUGUACGCCUCUGCUGCAGCUCUCCAAUACACAUAUGGUCGAUGAGGUCAGAUUCACCAACAUUGGGCCAGCCAUGUAGUCUCGCUGGAGAGUGAAUGCCCCGUCAAUGCAACUUUCAUCCCGCAGAAAUUCGAGAAAGGCAAGCAUAAUCGACUCCUUUUUGUGCUCCGAUCAGGAGUUCAAGAUCUCCAUGGAAGAGGCCGAUUUCCAUAUCGGUCUAGGUUAAGAUUAUAGCACAUAACUAACAAUUUUGUAA